RNAcentral lists this ribosomal RNA (253 nucleotides) under uncultured bacterium. RNAcentral's name for it is "partial 16S ribosomal RNA". It matches the Rfam family "Bacterial small subunit ribosomal RNA", at positions 524 to 776 of the family's 1533-position model. The record is from RNAcentral.
UACGAAGGGUGCAAGCGUUACUCGGAAUUACUGGGCGUAAAGCGUGCGUAGGUGGUUUGUUAAGUCUGUUGUGAAAGCCCCGGGCUCAACCUGGGAAUGGCAAUGGAUACUGGCAAGCUAGAGUGCGGUAGAGGGUAGUGGAAUUCCCGGUGUAGCGGUGAAAUGCGCAGAGAUCGGGAGGAACACCAAUGGCGAAAGCAGAUACCUGGACUAUUACUGACACUAAGCUGCGAAAGCUAGGGGAGCAAACAGG